GUGAUAUAGCUCAGUGGUAGACCGCGUGCUUAGCAUGCAUGAGGUCCUGGGUUCAAUCCUAGUAUCUACA
This 70-nucleotide transfer RNA is filed under the name Camelus ferus (Wild Bactrian camel). It matches the Rfam family "tRNA". From Rfam's summary of the family: Transfer RNA (tRNA) molecules are approximately 80 nucleotides in length. Their secondary structure includes four short double-helical elements and three loops (D, anti-codon, and T loops). The record is from Rfam by way of RNAcentral. Lineage: Eukaryota; Metazoa; Chordata; Mammalia; Artiodactyla; Camelidae.